CCUACGGGAGGCAGCAGUGAGGAAUAUUGGUCAAUGGUCGGGAGACUGAACCAGCCAAGCCGCGUGAGGGAUGAAGGUACAGAGUAUCGUAAACCUCUUUUGUCAGGGAACAAAGGCGGGGACGCGUCCCCGGAUGAGUGUACCUGAAGAAAAAGCAUCGGCUAACUCGGUGCCAGCAGCCGCGGUAAUACGGAGGAUGCGAGCGUUAUCCGGAUUUAUUGGGUUUAAGGGGUGCGCAGGCGGUCUGUUAAGUCAGCGGUAAAAGCCCGGGGCACAACCCCGGCCCGCCGUUGAAACUGGCAGUCUCGAGUUGGAGAGAAGUAAGCGGAAUGCGCGGUGUAGCGGUGAAAUGCAUAGAUAUCGCGCAGAACUCCGAUGGCGAAGGCAGCAUGCCGGCUCCACACUGACGCUGAGGCACGAAAGCGUGGGUAUCGAACAGGAUUAGAUACCCCAGUAGUC
This 459-nucleotide ribosomal RNA is filed under the name uncultured bacterium. RNAcentral describes it as "partial 16S ribosomal RNA". It matches the Rfam family "Bacterial small subunit ribosomal RNA", at positions 338 to 795 of the family's 1533-position model. The record is from RNAcentral.